GCUAGGUCUUAAACUUCAAAAUUGAAUAAUACCUAUUUUUUCUUGGUGUAUAUUUUCUCUAGUUAAAUGUUUCAUGCUUAUUUAUUUCUCACAUACCAAGUCCUAUGGAUAGGCUAAGAAGAUGCUACUACUAUUUUAAACAUGGAUGCCUUUUUUUUUGCACUGAACUAUUAUGUUUUAGAUGGUGAUGCCAGGAGACCCUGUAGAAAUGACAGAAUUUCAGGAUAAAGCAAUCAGCAAUUCUCACUAUGUGCUGGAACUUACGUUACCAAAUAUUUAUGUAACACUACCUAAUAAGAGCUUUUAUGAGAAGCUUUAUAAUAGGACUGAGGGGAGGGUCAGUGAGAUGAUGCAGGAUCAGUUCCAGUUUACAAAGUGCUCUCAUAUAGGAUCUUUAAUGACUUGCUACUGUGGGAACCAACAGCUCCUUCACCAGUGGAGACAUUCGAGAAUAUUUCCUAUGGCAUUGGGCUUUCAGUAGCCAGUCAGCUCAUUAAUACUUUCAACAAAGAUAGUUUUAGU
RNAcentral lists this long non-coding RNA (522 nucleotides) under Homo sapiens (human). RNAcentral's name for it is "non-protein coding lnc-TCL1A-8:2". Lineage: Eukaryota; Metazoa; Chordata; Mammalia; Primates; Hominidae. The record is from RNAcentral.